GUAGGGAAUCUUGCGCAAUGGGCGAAAGCCUGACGCAGCCAUGCCGCGUGAAUGAUGAAGGCCUUAGGGUUGUAAAGCUCUUUCAGUGGGGACGAUAAUGACGGUACCCACAGAAGAAGCCCCGGCUAACUUCGUGCCAGCAGCCGCGGUAAUACGAAGGGGGCUAGCGUUGUUCGGAAUUACUGGGCGUAAAGCGCACGUAGGCGGACAUUUAAGUCAGGGGUGAAAUCCCGGGGCUCAACCCCGGAACUGCCGUUGAUACUGGGUGUCUGGAGUAUGGAAGAGGUAAGUGGAAUUCCGAGUGUAGAGGUGAAAUUCGUAGAUAUUCGGAGGAACACCAGUGGCGAAGGCGGCUUACUGGUCCAUUACUGACGCUGAGGUGCGAAAGCGUGGGGAGCAAACAGGAUUAGAUACCCGGGUAGUCC
RNAcentral lists this ribosomal RNA (425 nucleotides) under uncultured bacterium. Its description in RNAcentral is "partial 16S ribosomal RNA". It matches the Rfam family "Bacterial small subunit ribosomal RNA", at positions 354 to 796 of the family's 1533-position model. The record is from RNAcentral.